CCUACGGGAGGCAGCAGUGAGGAAUAUUGGUCAAUGGACGCAAGUCUGAACCAGCCAAGUAGCGUGCAGGAUGACGGUCCUCCGGGUUGUAAACUGCUUUUAGUUGGGAAUAAAAGGGGGCUCGUGAGCCCCGUAUUGUAUGUACCAUCAGAAAACGUCCCGGCUAAUUCCGUGCCAGCCGCCGCUGUAAGACGGAAGGUCCGGGCGUUCUCCGGUUUUCUUGGGUUUAAAGGGAGCGUAGGCCGGCUUGUAAGUCAGCUGUGAAAGUCCGCGGCUCAACCGUGGCAUUGCAGUUGAAACUGGAGGCCUUGAGUGCACACAGGGAUGCCGGAAUUCAUGGUGUAGCGGUGAAAUGCUUAGAUAUCAUGAAGAACUCCGAUCGCGAAGGCAAGUGUCCGGGGUGAAACUGACGCUGAGGCUCGAAAGUGCGGGUAUCAAACAGGAUUAGAUACCCGGGUAGUC
Molecule: ribosomal RNA, 462 nt
Filed under: uncultured bacterium
Lineage: Bacteria
Description: partial 16S ribosomal RNA
Rfam family: Bacterial small subunit ribosomal RNA
Source: RNAcentral